CUGCUAUCGACUCCGCUCCGUCGCCUGAAAAUGGCUUGGUCGGACAGUCAUCGGCGUCUUGAAAGCUGCGCUCUUCAACAUCCAGAUGGUGACUAAACCAUGCUCCGAUAACAGAGUACCCUCAGUUGCUUUCUACUCACCAAGAGUUGAACCGCCUUGAAUCGGAACGCUGGCUUCUUACCCUCUAAACGCGCGCUAGGACGUGGUGCUUUUCGCUCCAGUGCUUCAACCUUACCUGGGGUCUCGCAGACCUCGA
Long non-coding RNA from Varroa destructor (honeybee mite), 256 nucleotides. The record is from RefSeq and is a predicted model, not a curated record. Lineage: Eukaryota; Metazoa; Arthropoda; Arachnida; Mesostigmata; Varroidae.